Molecule: unclassified non-coding RNA, 148 nt
Filed under: uncultured fungus
Lineage: Eukaryota; Fungi
Description: sequence contains ITS1
Source: RNAcentral
AUCUUUUUUUAUUUACAACUUACAGUAAAUGUUUUUUUUCACAGGUGGAAAAGUUUUAAAUACAAAAAUCUUUCGUAAAGCCGAGCUGAGACCCAGCCCGCUAAAAAAAUUCAUUAAUGAUUCUUCCGCAGGUUCACACUUACGAAAA